GAACCAUGAAGACCACAGGAGGCAGCUUACAGUCAAAAUUAUGGAACCUAUAAUCCACGUCCCUAACUUGGCAGUUGAAGGCACCAUGUUGAGGAACGCACAUGAGAACGUGGCUGACGUAUAUUCAAGUCCGAGAAGGAAUAGGUUUUGUGGAACUGUUACUCUGAAAAGCAUUAAUAAGCCAAAAACAAGAUGUCAAAUCUUGGGAAAAGAAAGAUAGCAGAAAGGUGUAAGAUGCUGUCUCACUGGAAUGCAAAUUGCAGAAUGUGAAAAGAGGUUUGUGGUGUAUUUUUUUACUUUCAUUGAUCAAUAUAUCAUUUAUUAGAUACAUUCUUAUUCAAGUCAAGUAGAAUCAUUGUGAAAAAUAAAGGUUUCUCGUGAAUAUUUAAUUUAACUAAACAUAUAGAAUUCGAGACCAUGAGAAAGUUAAAAUAACAUUAUGUGAAUCGAUUCCCAUGUUCAGUUAUUUGUAU
This is a long non-coding RNA of Vigna unguiculata (cowpea), 473 nucleotides long. The record is from RefSeq and is a predicted model, not a curated record. Lineage: Eukaryota; Viridiplantae; Streptophyta; Magnoliopsida; Fabales; Fabaceae.